This 253-nucleotide ribosomal RNA is filed under the name uncultured bacterium. RNAcentral's name for it is "partial 16S ribosomal RNA". It matches the Rfam family "Bacterial small subunit ribosomal RNA", at positions 524 to 776 of the family's 1533-position model. The record is from RNAcentral.
UACGAGAGGUGCUAGCGUUAUUCGGAAUUAUUGGGCGUAAAGGGCGCGUAGGCGGUCUGUUAAGUUUGUUGUUAAAGCCUCUGGCUUAACCGGAGAAAAGCAAUAAAAACUGGUGGACUAGAGGGUGAGAGAGAGAAGUGGAAUUCCCGGAGUAGCGGUAAAAUGCGUAGAUCUCGGGAGGAACACCAAUGGCGAAGGCUGCUUCUUGGCUCACAACUGACGCUGAGGCGCGAAAGCGUGGGGAGCAAACAGG